This 1311-nucleotide ribosomal RNA is filed under the name Bacillus sp. (in: firmicutes). Its description in RNAcentral is "bacterial SSU rRNA". It matches the Rfam family "Bacterial small subunit ribosomal RNA", at positions 63 to 1358 of the family's 1533-position model. Lineage: Bacteria; Bacillati; Bacillota; Bacilli; Caryophanales; Bacillaceae. The record is from RNAcentral.
CGAGCGAACUGAUUAGAAGCUUGCUUUCUAUGACGUUAGCGGCGGACGGGUGAGUAACACGUGGGCAACCUGCCUGUAAGACUGGGAUAACUUCGGGAAACCGAAGCUAAUACCGGAUAGGAUCUUCUCCUUCAUGGGAGAUGAUUGAAAGAUGGUUUCGGCUAUCACUUACAGAUGGGCCCGCGGUGCAUUAGCUAGUUGGUGAGGUAACGGCUCACCAAGGCAACGAUGCAUAGCCGACCUGAGAGGGUGAUCGGCCACACUGGGACUGAGACACGGCCCAGACUCCUACGGGAGGCAGCAGUAGGGAAUCUUCCGCAAUGGACGAAAGUCUGACGGAGCAACGCCGCGUGAGUGAUGAAGGCUUUCGGGUCGUAAAACUCUGUUGUUAGGGAAGAACAAGUACAAGAGUAACUGCUUGUACCUUGACGGUACCUAACCAGAAAGCCACGGCUAACUACGUGCCAGCAGCCGCGGUAAUACGUAGGUGGCAAGCGUUAUCCGGAAUUAUUGGGCGUAAAGCGCGCGCAGGCGGUUUCUUAAGUCUGAUGUGAAAGCCCACGGCUCAACCGUGGAGGGUCAUUGGAAACUGGGGAACUUGAGUGCAGAAGAGAAAAGCGGAAUUCCACGUGUAGCGGUGAAAUGCGUAGAGAUGUGGAGGAACACCAGUGGCGAAGGCGGCUUUUUGGUCUGUAACUGACGCUGAGGCGCGAAAGCGUGGGGAGCAAACAGGAUUAGAUACCCUGGUAGUCCACGCCGUAAACGAUGAGUGCUAAGUGUUAGAGGGUUUCCGCCCUUUAGUGCUGCAGCUAACGCAUUAAGCACUCCGCCUGGGGAGUACGUCGCAAGACUGAAACUCAAGGAAUUGACGGGGGCCCGCACAAGCGGUGGAGCAUGGUGGUUUAAUUCGAAGCAACGCGAGACCUUACCAGUCUUGACAUCCUCUGACACUCUAGAGAUAGAGCGUUCCCCUUCGGGGGACAGAGUGACAGGUGGUGCAUGGUUGUCGUCAGCUCGUGUCGUGAGAUGUUGGGUUAAGUCCCGCAACGAGCGCAACCCUUGAUCUUAGUUGCCAGCAUUUAGUUGGGCACUCUAAGGUGACUGCCGGUGACAAACCGGAGGAAGGUGGGGAUGACGUCAAAUCAUCAUGCCCCUUAUGACCUGGGCUACACACGUGCUACAAUGGAUGGUACAAAGGGCUGCAAGACCGCGAGGUCAAGCCAAUCCCAUAAAACCAUUCUCAGUUCGGAUUGUAGGCUGCAACUCGCCUACAUGAAGCUGGAAUCGCUAGUAAUCGCGGAUCAGCAUGCC